UCGGAUGUGAAAUCCCCGGGCUCAACCUGGGAACUGCAUUCGAAACUGGCAGGCUUGAGUCUUGUAGAGGGGGGUAGAAUUCCAGGUGUAGCGGUGAAAUGCGUAGAGAUCUGGAGGAAUACCGGUGGCGAAGGCGGCCCCCUGGACAAAGACUGACGCUCAGGUGCGAAAGCGUGGGGAGCAAACAGGAUUAGAUACCCUGGUAGUCCACGCCGUAAACGAUGUCUACUUGGAGGUUGUGCCCUUGAGGCGUGGCUUCCGGAGCUAACGCGUUAAGUAGACCGCCUGGGGAGUACGGCCGCAAGGUUAAAACUCAAAUGAAUUGACGGGGGCCCGCACAAGCGGUGGAGCAUGUGGUUUAAUUCGAUGCAACGCGAAGAACCUUACCUGGUCUUGACAUCCACAGAAGAAUCCAGAGAUGGAUUUGUGCCUUCGGGAACUGUGAGACAGGUGCUGCAUGGCUGUCGUCAGCUCGUGUUGUGAAAUGUUGGGUUAAGUCCCGCAACGAGCGCAAC
RNAcentral lists this ribosomal RNA (515 nucleotides) under Salmonella enterica subsp. enterica. Its description in RNAcentral is "bacterial SSU rRNA". It matches the Rfam family "Bacterial small subunit ribosomal RNA", at positions 588 to 1102 of the family's 1533-position model. The record is from RNAcentral. Lineage: Bacteria; Pseudomonadati; Pseudomonadota; Gammaproteobacteria; Enterobacterales; Enterobacteriaceae. RNAcentral also lists the same sequence under 1 other name.